Molecule: ribosomal RNA, 490 nt
Filed under: uncultured bacterium
Lineage: Bacteria
Description: partial 16S ribosomal RNA
Rfam family: Bacterial small subunit ribosomal RNA
Source: RNAcentral
AUUGAACGCUGGCGGCAGGCCUAACACAUGCAAGUCGAACGGUAACAGGAAACAGCUUGCUGUUUCGCUGACGAGUGGCGGACGGGUGAGUAAUGUCUGGGAAACUGCCUGAUGGAGGGGGAUAACUACUGGAAACGGUAGCUAAUACCGCAUAACGUCGCAAGACCAAAGAGGGGGACCUUCGGGCCUCUUGCCAUCGGAUGUGCCCAGAUGGGAUUAGCUAGUAGGUGGGGUAACGGCUCACCUAGGCGACGAUCCCUACCUGGUCUGAGAGGAUGACCAGCCACACUGGAACGGAGACACGGACCAGACGCCUACGGGAGGCAGCAGUGGGGAAUAUUGCACAGUGGGCGCAAGCCUGAUGCAGCCAGGCCGCGUGUAUGAAGAAGGCCUUCGGGUUGUAAAGUACGUUCAGCGGGGAGGAAGGGAGUAAAGUUAAUACCUUUACUCAUUGACGUUACCCGCAGAAGAAGCACCGGCUAACUCCGUG